Molecule: ribosomal RNA, 61 nt
Filed under: Colletotrichum gloeosporioides
Lineage: Eukaryota; Fungi; Ascomycota; Sordariomycetes; Glomerellales; Glomerellaceae
Description: partial 28S ribosomal RNA
Rfam family: Eukaryotic large subunit ribosomal RNA
Source: RNAcentral
GUUGACCUCGGAUCAGGUAGGAAUACCCGCUGAACUUAAGCAUAUCAAUAAGCGGAGAGAA